RNAcentral lists this ribosomal RNA (790 nucleotides) under uncultured Methanolobus sp. Its description in RNAcentral is "bacterial SSU rRNA". It matches the Rfam family "Archaeal small subunit ribosomal RNA", at positions 85 to 876 of the family's 1478-position model. The record is from RNAcentral. Lineage: Archaea; Methanobacteriati; Methanobacteriota; Methanomicrobia; Methanosarcinales; Methanosarcinaceae.
ACGGCUCAGUAACACGUGGAUAAUCUGCCCUAAGGUCAGGCAUAACACCGGGAAACUGGUGAUAAUUCCUGAUAUACCAUAGAUACUGGAAUGUUCUGUGGUCAAAAGCUCCGGCGCCUUAGGAUGAAUCUGCGGCCUAUCAGGUCGUAGUGGGUGUAACGUACCUACUAGCCGACGACGGGUACGGGUUGUGAGAGCAAGAGCCCGGAGAUGGAUUCUGAGACAUGAAUCCAGGCCCUACGGGGCGCAGCAGGCGCGAAAACUUUACAAUGCGGGAAACCGCGAUAAGGGGACACUGAGUGCCAGCAUACAAUGUUGGCUGUCCGCAUGUAUAAAUAGCAUGUGUUAGCAAGGGCCGGGCAAGACCGGUGCCAGCCGCCGCGGUAACACCGGCGGCCCGAGUGGUGGCCACUAUUAUUGGGUCUAAAGGGUCCGUAGCCGGUUUGAUCAGUCUUCCGGGAAAUCUGACAGCUCAACUGCUAGGCUUCCGGGGGAUACUGUCAGACUUGGGACCGGGAGAGGUAAGAGGUACUACAGGGGUAGGAGUGAAAUCUUGUAAUCCUUGUGGGACCACCAGUGGCGAAGGCGUCUUACCAGAACGGGUCCGACGGUGAGGGACGAAAGCUGGGGGCACGAACCGGAUUAGAUACCCGGGUAGUCCCAGCCGUAAACGAUGCUCGCUAGGUGUCUGGGAUGGUGCGACCGUUUCAGGUGCCGCAGGGAAGCCGUGAAGCGAGCCACCUGGGAAGUACGGCCGCAAGGCUGAAACUUAAAGGAAUUGGCGGGGGAG